This 253-nucleotide ribosomal RNA is filed under the name uncultured bacterium. Its description in RNAcentral is "partial 16S ribosomal RNA". It matches the Rfam family "Bacterial small subunit ribosomal RNA", at positions 524 to 776 of the family's 1533-position model. The record is from RNAcentral.
UACAGGGGGGGCAAGCGUUGUUCGGAAUUACUGGGCGUAAAGGGCUCGUAGGUGGCCAACUAAGUCAGACGUGAAAUCCCUCAGCUUAACUGGGGAACUGCGUCUGAUACUGGAUGGCUUGAGUUUGGGAGAGGGAUGCGGAAUUCCAGGUGUAGCGGUGAAAUGCGUAGAUAUCGAGAGGAACACCUGCGGCGAAGGCGGGUUGCUGGGCCGACACUGACGCUGAUGCGCGAAAGCCAGGGGAGCGAACGGG